ACGCACGCUGGCGGCGUGCUUAACACAUGCAAGUCGAACGGAAAGGCCCUGCUUUUGUGGGGUGCUCGAGUGGCGAACGGGUAAGUAACACGUGAGUAACCUGCCUUUGACUUUGGGAUAACUUCAGGAAACUGGGGCUAAUACCGGAUAGGAGCUCCUGCUGCAUGGUGGGGGUUGGAAAGUUUCGGCGGUUGGGGAUGGACUCGCGGCUUAUCAGCUUGUUGGUGGGGUAGUGGCUUACCAAGGCUUUGACGGGUAGCCGGCCUGAGAGGGUGACCGGCCACAUUGGGACUGAGAUACGGCCCAGACUCCUACGGGAGGCAGCAGUGGGGAAUAUUGCACAAUGGGCGGAAGCCUGAUGCAGCAACGCCGCGUGCGGGAUGACGGCCUUCGGGUUGUAAACCGCUUUCGCCUGUGACGAAGCGUGAGUGACGGUAAUGGGUAAAGAAGCACCGGCUAACUACGUG
RNAcentral lists this ribosomal RNA (467 nucleotides) under uncultured bacterium. RNAcentral describes it as "partial 16S ribosomal RNA". It matches the Rfam family "Bacterial small subunit ribosomal RNA", at positions 29 to 507 of the family's 1533-position model. The record is from RNAcentral.